RNAcentral lists this ribosomal RNA (576 nucleotides) under uncultured bacterium. Its description in RNAcentral is "partial 16S ribosomal RNA". It matches the Rfam family "Bacterial small subunit ribosomal RNA", at positions 356 to 925 of the family's 1533-position model. The record is from RNAcentral.
UGGGGAAUUUGGACAAUGGGCGAAAGCCUGAUCCAGCAAUGCCGCGUGUGUGAAGAAGGCCUUCGGGUUGUAAAGCACUUUUGUCCGGAAAGAAAUCCUUGGCUCUAAUACAGUCGGGGGAUGACGGUACCGGAAGAAUAAGCACCGGCUAACUACGUGCCAGCAGCCGCGGUAAUACGUAGGGUGCAAGCGUUAAUCGGAAUUACUGGGCGUAAAGCGUGCGCAGGCGGUUUGCUAAGACCGAUGUGAAAUCCCCGGGCUCAACCUGGGAACUGCAUUGGUGACUGGCAGGCUAGAGUAUGGCAGAGGGGGGUAGAAUUCCACGUGUAGCAGUGAAAUGCGUAGAGAUGUGGAGGAAUACCGAUGGCGAAGGCAGCCCCCUGGGCCAAUACUGACGCUCAUGCACGAAAGCGUGGGGAGCAAACAGGAUUAGAUACCCUGGUAGUCCACGCCCUAAACGAUGUCAACUAGUUGUUGGGGAUUCAUUUCCUUAGUAACGUAGCUAACGCGUGAAGUUGACCGCCUGGGGAGUACGGUCGCAAGAUUAAAACUCAAAUGAAUUGACGGGGUCAUGCU